This is a non-coding RNA of Meleagris gallopavo (turkey), 552 nucleotides long. The record is from RefSeq and is a predicted model, not a curated record. NCBI's taxonomy places the organism in Eukaryota, Metazoa, Chordata, Aves, Galliformes, Phasianidae.
UUCUAUGACGUCAUCACCAGCUGAAUGGAUGGAGUGCCAGUGCUGGAUGUUGUGCACCUUGACUUCAGUCAUGAAGCUGUACAGACAUGAGACACUCUGAUGGGCCGGGAGAUGAGGGCUUCCUUGUUGAAGAGCUCAGCCUAGGAGCAGUGAAACAACUUUGGAAACUGAGUAGGAUAUAUGAGUGCAAGACGUACAGAAGAAAUCCCACCUAGAAGCACUGGCACAUGAACAGCAAGUAAUGCUCACUGGUUUAAGGCAUUUCAGCUUGGAGAAGACAAUAGAGGUAAAAUUCCACUAGAUGGAAUAGUUGAAGCAAAUAUUAACAAGCCAUGUGUGGAAACGUAAGUUUUGGACCAACACAUCCUAUUAUUUGCUUCACUUGGAAGAGCAGAAACACAUAAAAUACAUCUUGUUCAUUUGGGAAUGAGCAGUGCUCUUAGAAGGCCUUCCAGUGUAGGACUUGAGUUGACGAGAACAUUUUUUUUCUAUGGUCCUAUGGAUUAAGAACCAAGGAAAUUAAAAGUGAUUUUAGUUAAUACAGUAGUAGUA